Molecule: ribosomal RNA, 549 nt
Filed under: uncultured Glomeromycotina
Lineage: Eukaryota; Fungi; Glomeromycota
Description: SSU rRNA
Rfam family: Eukaryotic small subunit ribosomal RNA
Source: RNAcentral
UUGGAGGGCAAGUCUGGUGCCAGCAGCCGCGGUAAUUCCAGCUCCAAUAGCGUAUAUUAAAGUUGUUGCAGUUAAAAAGCUCGUAGUUGAAUUUCGGGAUCAAUAUGUCGGUCGUGCUUUUGGUACGUACUGGCAUCAUUGGUUUCUCCCUUCUGACAAACCAUGAUGUCAUUAAUUUGGUGUUAUGGGGAGUUAGGACUGUUACUUUGAAAAAACUAGAGUGUUUAAAGCAGGCAUUAGCUUGAAUACAUUAGCAUGGAAUAAUGAAAUAGGACGUUUGACCCUAUUUUGUUGGUUUCUAGGAUCGACGUAAUGAUUAAUAGGGAUAGUUGGGGGCAUUAGUAUUCAAUUGUCAGAGGUGAAAUUCUUGGAUUUAUUGAAGACUAACUACUGCGAAAGCAUUUGCCAAGGAUGUUUUCAUUAAUCAAGAACGAAAGUUAGGGGAUCGAAGACGAUCAGAUACCGUCGUAGUCUUAACCAUAAACUAUGCCGACUAGGGAUCGGAUGAUGUUAAUUUUUUAAUGACUCAUUCGGCGCCUUACGGGAAAC